CGGAAAUGACCAUUUGUCUGAAUGAUUCAUUGGUUGACGGAGCAAGCAUAAACAAAUAGUUACCAUAGCCUGCAUUUUAGAGGGCUCAAAUGAGACUAGUAUGGCUUCACAUUUACUCCAUAGAUAAGUUAAAGGAAAAAAAACAGAGUGAUCAGUAAAAGGAAAACAGACCCGUGGACUUGAAAAUUCCUUUGGGGUCGACCUCUGUCAUAGCUCGAGCAGAGGCUUCAGCCCCAUCUAGAACUU
Long non-coding RNA from Arabidopsis thaliana (thale cress), 246 nucleotides. RefSeq annotates it as other RNA. The transcript has a single exon. Lineage: Eukaryota; Viridiplantae; Streptophyta; Magnoliopsida; Brassicales; Brassicaceae. The record is from RefSeq.